Molecule: ribosomal RNA, 382 nt
Filed under: Ischnura capreola
Lineage: Eukaryota; Metazoa; Arthropoda; Insecta; Odonata; Coenagrionidae
Description: partial large subunit ribosomal RNA
Rfam family: Archaeal large subunit ribosomal RNA (bases 1-184)
Source: RNAcentral
GUCCUAUUGUAUUGUUUAUUAGGUCUGGCCUGCCCAGUGAUGUUUUUAACGGCCGCGGUAUAUUGACCGUGCAAAGGUAGCAUAAUCAUUAGUCUUUUAAUAGAAGGCUGGAAUGAAAGGUUUAACGAGAAAUUAACUGUCUCAAUUACAAAUUUGAAUUUAUCUUUUGAGUCAAAAGACUCAAAUUUAAUUGGAGGACGAGAAGACCCUAUAGAGCUUAACAAUUUUUUUUCUAUAUUUAUUUAGUAUAAAAUGAUUUAUUUAUAUUGAUAAAAUUGUUUUGUUGGGGUGACAAUAAAUAUAUAUAUAACUUUUAUCAUAUUAAUUACAUUAAUUUAUGAUUUUUUGGAUCCAGAAUUUUUGAUCAUUAGAUUAAGUUACC